RNAcentral lists this long non-coding RNA (390 nucleotides) under Helianthus annuus (common sunflower). RNAcentral describes it as "hypothetical non coding rna". Lineage: Eukaryota; Viridiplantae; Streptophyta; Magnoliopsida; Asterales; Asteraceae. The record is from RNAcentral.
GUAUGUCGACACGUGUCUUACAUUGACUGGAAAAAUUAGAAAAGUAUUUAGAAAACGUAAACAUGUAUAUAAGCAAAGUAAACUAAUGGGGAAUCAAAUUUAUUAAGUUGAGGGACUAAAUAUGUAUAUUAGGAAAGCUAGAGUAGAAGGACAUCAAAGUAAAAGUAGAGGGACUAAACAUGGACUAAGCAUGUAUAUUAGCAAAGUUAACUAAUGAGGAAUAAAGUUUAUUAAGUAGAGGGACUAAACAUGUAUAUUAUGAUAGUUAUAAUAAAAGGACUAAACACGUAAAUUAGAAAAGUUAAGGGUUAAAAGCGAAAAAUUAUUUUGACCAUUCAUAAGAGGACAAAUGGCUAUGUCGGAGUGGUCAGCCGACAUAGACUUUUAAGU